Molecule: non-coding RNA, 403 nt
Organism: Camellia sinensis
Lineage: Eukaryota; Viridiplantae; Streptophyta; Magnoliopsida; Ericales; Theaceae
Source: RefSeq, a predicted model, not a curated record
AUAUAUAUCUAAUAUAAGAACAUGGACACAUUGGAGGCACUCUUGAGAUGCUCUUGCUUCUAAUUUCACCCUGUCCCACUAAAUAUUUUUGUUUCCACCCAAGCCUCAUCCUAACCAUAUUGAUAUAAUUGUUCAUCCUAAUUUGUCAUAUAUCAUUCUCCAAUGGAGAGAAGACAACAGCUGAGAGUGUUGCAGAUGCCAUUUUUGAGAAUUGAGCCGAGUUGGUGCAUCUUCCUUCCACCAUGGAUCUUCAUGUGCCACUGCCAUCCAACGACUGCCCAAGUUGUGAUGGAUCGGAGAUGAAGAGUUAGUGUAAUGAGAAAAGAUCCGAGUUUAUCUCUUGUCAGAAAUUUGUUGAGAGAUGCAAAAUAUGGUUAAAGAAUUCAAGAACUUAGUUUUUCAA